This 54-nucleotide ribosomal RNA is filed under the name Clypeaster rarispinus. RNAcentral describes it as "partial 12S ribosomal RNA". Lineage: Eukaryota; Metazoa; Echinodermata; Echinoidea; Clypeasteroida; Clypeasteridae. The record is from RNAcentral.
GCAAGAUGAGAAAGUCGUAACAUAGUAGGUGUAUCGGAAGAUGCACCUGGAAGU